CUGAUGUUAGCGGCGGACGGGUGAGUAACACGUGGGUAACCUACCUAUAAGACUGGGAUAACUCCGGGAAACCGGGGCUAAUACCGGAUAAUAUUUUGAACCGCAUGGUUCAAUAGUGAAAGACGGUUUCGGCUGUCACUUAUAGAUGGACCCGCGCCGUAUUAGCUAGUUGGUAAGGUAACGGCUUACCAAGGCGACGAUACGUAGCCGACCUGAGAGGGUGAUCGGCCACACUGGAACUGAGACACGGUCCAGACUCCUACGGGAGGCAGCAGCA
Molecule: ribosomal RNA, 277 nt
Filed under: uncultured Staphylococcus sp.
Lineage: Bacteria; Bacillati; Bacillota; Bacilli; Caryophanales; Staphylococcaceae
Description: partial 16S ribosomal RNA
Rfam family: Bacterial small subunit ribosomal RNA
Source: RNAcentral